RNAcentral lists this ribosomal RNA (986 nucleotides) under uncultured bacterium. RNAcentral describes it as "bacterial SSU rRNA". It matches the Rfam family "Bacterial small subunit ribosomal RNA", at positions 8 to 1000 of the family's 1533-position model. The record is from RNAcentral.
AGAGUUUGAUCCUGGCUCAGGACGAACGCUGGCGGCGUGCCUAACACAUGCAAGUCGAGCGGGGAUUUGGGAGCUUGCUUCUGAAUCCCAGCGGCGGACGGGUGAGUAACGCGUGAGCAAUCUGCCUCAAACAGGGGGAUAACGCAUCGAAAGAUGUGCUAAUACCGCGUAAGACCACAGCACCGCAUGGUGCAGGGGUCAAAGGAGCAAUCCGGUUUGAGAUGAGCUCGCGUCCGAUUAGCUAGUUGGUGAGAUAACAGCCCACCAAGGCGACGAUCGGUAGCCGACCUGAGAGGGUGAUCGGCCACAUUGGAACUGAGACACGGUCCAGACUCCUACGGGAGGCAGCAGUGGGGAAUAUUGGGCAAUGGGCGAAAGCCUGACCCAGCAACGCCGCGUGAGGGAAGAAGGGUUUCGGCUCGUAAACCUCUGUCCUAUGGGACGAAUAGAUGACGGUACCAUAGGAGGAAGCCCCGGCUAACUACGUGCCAGCAGCCGCGGUAAUACGUAGGGGGCGAGCGUUGUCCGGAAUGAUUGGGCGUAAAGGGCGCGUAGGCGGCCCGUUAAGUCUGGAGUGAAAGUCCCGCUUUCAAGGUGGGAAUUGCUUUGGAUACUGAUGGGCUCGAGUGCAGGAGAGGAAAGCGGAAUUACCGGUGUAGCGGUGAAAUGCGUAGAGAUCGGUAGGAACACCAGUGGCGAAGGCGGCUUUCUGGACUGAAACUGACGCUGAGGCGCGAAAGCGUGGGGAGCAAACAGGAUUAGAUACCCUGGUAGUCCACGCGGUAAACGAUGAGUGCUAGGUGGUAGGGGGGUAUCGACUCCUUCUGUGCCGCAGUAAACACAAUAAGCACUCCGGCUGGGGAGUACGGCCGGCAAGGUGAAACUCAAAGGAAUUGACGGGGGCCCGCAACAGCAGCGGGAGCAUGUGGAUUAAUUCGAAGGCACGGCGAACAACCUUACCAGGUCUUGACAUCCAAUAAAACUUG